This 293-nucleotide ribosomal RNA is filed under the name uncultured bacterium. RNAcentral's name for it is "partial 16S ribosomal RNA". It matches the Rfam family "Bacterial small subunit ribosomal RNA", at positions 773 to 1060 of the family's 1533-position model. The record is from RNAcentral.
GUGGAUUAGAUACCCUAGUAGUCCACGCCCUAAACGAUGAACACUAGGUGUCGGGGGAGUUAAAUCCUCCGGUGCCGCAGCUAACGCAUUAAGUGUUCCGCCUGGGGAGUACGGCCGCAAGGUUGAAACUCAAAGGAAUUGACGGGGGCCCGCACAAGCGGUGGAGCAUGUGGUUCAAUUCGACGCUACGCGAAAAACCUUACCUAGGCUUGACAUCUGGGGAAUUUUCUGGAAACAGAGAAGUGCCUCGCAAGAGGAGCCCCAAGACAGGUGCUGCAUGGCCGUCGCCAGCU